Molecule: ribosomal RNA, 1547 nt
Filed under: uncultured bacterium
Lineage: Bacteria
Description: bacterial SSU rRNA
Rfam family: Bacterial small subunit ribosomal RNA
Source: RNAcentral
AGAGUUUGAUCAUGGCUCAGGAUGAACGCUGGCGGCGUGGAUAAGGCAUGCAAGUCGAGUGGGUUUAGACCCACGGCGAACGAGGUAGUAACACGUAGGAACGCACCCCAAAGUCGGGCAUAACCAGUCGAAAGACUGGAUAAUUCCCGAUAUCUCUUCGGAGGAAAGAUUUAUCGCUUUGGGAGCGGCCUGCGGAAUAUCAGCUAGUUGGUAGUGUAAUGGACUACCAAGGCUAUGACGUUUAGGGGAGGUGAGAGCCUGACCCCCACCGAUGGUACUGCGACACGGACCAUACACCUACGGGUGGCUGCAGUCGAGAAUCUUCCACAAUGGACGAAAGUCUGAUGGAGCGACGCCGCGUGAUUGAUGAAGUCCUUCGGGAUGUAAAGAUCUUUUAUGAGGGAGAAAGUCAUUGAUAGUACCUCAUGAAUAAGGGGUUGCUAAACUCGUGCCAGCAGCAGCGGUAAUACGAGUGCCCCGAGCGUUAUCCGGAAUUAUUGGGCGUAAAGGGUGCGGAAGGCGGCGAUAUUAGUCUUUUGUUAAAGCUCCCGGCUUAACCGGGAAAUCGCAAAAGAAACGGUAUUGCUUGAGAGUGUGAGAGGUAUGCGGAACUCAUGGUGUAGGGGUGAAAUCCGUUGAUAUCAUGGGGAACACCAAAGGCGAAGGCAGCAUACUGGCACAUUUCUGACGCUCAAGCACGAAAGCGUGGGUAGCGAAUGGGAUUAGAUACCCCAGUAGUCCACGCCCUAAACGAUGUUCUCUAGUCUUUUGGAGUAUCGACCCUCUGAGAGGCGUAGCUAACGCGUUAAGAGAACCGCCUGGGAAGUACGGCCGCAAGGCUAAAACUCAAAGGAAUAGACGGGGACUUGCACAAGCGGUGGAUCAGGUGGCUUAAUUCGACGGUAAACGAAGAACCUCACCAGGGUUUGAAACUCAUAGGAAAGACUUAGGAAACUAGGUAACUCCGCAAGGACCUAUGGGCAGGUGAUGCAUGGCCGUCGUCAGUUCGUGGUUUGAAUUGUUCCCUUCAGUGGGGUAACGAACGCAACCCUCGUUGCCUGUUAUAUAUGUCAGGCGAGACUGCCCAGCCCGAAGCGCGCGAAAGUUCGCGCGAGUCAAAAAGUGUAAAGUUUUAAAGUCUAAAGUGCUUAGUGUACUUUUUGCUUUAUGACUUUCUGCUUUAUGACUUGCCCGAAAUUCGCUUCGCGAAUUUCGGGCUGGGAGGAAGGCGAGGAUGACGCCAGGUCAGCAUGUCCCUCUGAUACCCUGGGCUGCACACUUGAUACAAUGGUCACGACAACGGGUCGCGACGGGGUAACCCUGAGCCAAUCCUAAUAAACGUGGCCUCAGUUCGGAUUGAGGGCUGAAACUCGACCUCAUGAAGCUGGAAUCGCUAGUAAUCGCGGGUCAGCUAUACCGCGGUGAAUACGUUCUCAAGUCUUGUACUCACCGCCCGUCAACUCAAGGGAGUCGGGAGUACCCGAAGCCCCUGCUUGCAGGGUCUAAGGUAAGCUCGAUGACAGGGAGUAAGUCGUAACAAGGUAACC